CAAGAAGAGGAUUUGUUGUGGCUCCCUUUCCUCUUUUUGCCCAGCCACCUUCUCAGGUCAGUGAAGAGCAGAAGCCCGAGCAGCCCCUGCCCAGCCGCCACCCGUUCGCUGGGAGCGUCUAGAUGAGAGGCAGCGCUCUUCAGCGGAGCUUCCUUUGCUAGGCCAGGAAGCGAGGUCUCCUUCUCCUUGGCGUGGCGCUACAGGAUGAAGCCCAGACCUGGGCCCAGGAAUCUCAAGCACCAACAUCUGAGCUGACUCUUCACCAGCCAAAGAGCCAGUACCAGGCUGAGGCUUGAGAAGCGUACGGGACAUGCUGUAGUGCAGCAAUUUUCGAUUCUCAGCAAAAAGAAGCAGCUUGGUUUGCUCUAUUUUAAGUGCAGCAGACAAAACUGCCUCUUUGAGUAAGCUUUCAGCUCAGGAGAGGACCAGUGAUAAAAGAGCCACACUAAAAAUAAGUAAGUCACAAGGAAAGUGUGAAUUUUCUGCAAGCAAAUUUCUUCUUCAUAAAUGCAAAGUGCCAGGGUAAGUACCCAUCUUAGAGCUGCGUGCAGAACGCCGGUAAGUGG
This 566-nucleotide long non-coding RNA is filed under the name Struthio camelus australis. Its description in RNAcentral is "lncRNA (ENSSCUG00000000124.1)". Lineage: Eukaryota; Metazoa; Chordata; Aves; Struthioniformes; Struthionidae. The record is from RNAcentral.